CGUAGGGUGCGAGCGUUACUCGGAAUUACUGGGCGUAAAGCGUGCGCAGGCGGUUUUGUAAGCCAGAUGUGAAAUCCCCGGGCUCAACCUGGGAAUGGCAUUUGGGACUGCAAGGCUCGAGUGCGGCAGAGGAGACUGGAAUUCCUGGUGUAGCAGUGAAAUGCGUAGAUAUCAGGAGGAACACCGAUGGCGAAGGCAGGUCUCUGGGCUGACACUGACGCUCAUGCACGAAAGCGUGGGGAGCAAACAGG
RNAcentral lists this ribosomal RNA (251 nucleotides) under uncultured bacterium. RNAcentral describes it as "partial 16S ribosomal RNA". It matches the Rfam family "Bacterial small subunit ribosomal RNA", at positions 526 to 776 of the family's 1533-position model. The record is from RNAcentral.